RNAcentral lists this small RNA (524 nucleotides) under Phaeophleospora hymenocallidicola. RNAcentral describes it as "eukaryotic LSU rRNA". It matches the Rfam family "Eukaryotic large subunit ribosomal RNA", at positions 63 to 601 of the family's 3401-position model. The record is from RNAcentral. Lineage: Eukaryota; Fungi; Ascomycota; Dothideomycetes; Mycosphaerellales; Mycosphaerellaceae.
AACCAACAGGGAUUGCCCUAGUAACGGCGAGUGAAGCGGCAACAGCUCAAAUUUGAAAUCUGGCGCAAGCCCGAGUUGUAAUUUGUAGAGGAUGCUUCUGGGCAGCGGCCGUUCUAAGUUCCUUGGAACAGGACGUCAUAGAGGGUGAGAAUCCCGUAUGUGACCGGCACGUACCCUCCACGUAGCUCCUUCGACGAGUCGAGUUGUUUGGGAAUGCAGCUCUAAAUGGGAGGUAAAUUUCUUCUAAAGCUAAAUACCGGCCAGAGACCGAUAGCGCACAAGUAGAGUGAUCGAAAGAUGAAAAGCACUUUGGAAAGAGAGUUAAAAAGCACGUGAAAUUGUUGAAAGGGAAGCGCUUACAACCAGACUUCGUGGCGGUGUUCCGCCGGUCUUCUGACCGGUCUACUCGCCGCCGCGAGGCCAGCAUCGUCUGGGGCCGCCGGAUAAGACCUUGGGAAUGUAGCUUGCCUCGGUAAGUGUUAUAGCCCAUGGUGAUGCGGCGUGCCUCGGGCGAGGUCCGCGCU